Long non-coding RNA from Ostrinia nubilalis (European corn borer), 429 nucleotides. RefSeq lists it as uncharacterized. The transcript has 3 exons. Lineage: Eukaryota; Metazoa; Arthropoda; Insecta; Lepidoptera; Crambidae. The record is from RefSeq and is a predicted model, not a curated record.
GCGAGAAGCGGCGAAUUUGAACGACCCGCGAAAGGCAGACGUCCGAUGUCUAGGAGUUAGAAAGAUAAUCGAAAGCGCGAGAGAAAUCAAGCAAUAUGAGGGCGGACACCAUGCCCCGGUCCUGAGAAGCAAGCAGUCCAUCCACCACAUCCGCCAGAGCAGUUGCCGUGCUGUGACCCUUACGAAAACCAGAUUGCAGAGCAGGGAGCAUAUUGUGUUUUUCAAGGUUGUUCCGAGUCAUAUCGCGGGUGCGCCGAAUACUCUCUCCACGUCGCCGAGCGAGCGGAACUGCCGAACCUCAGCACCAUCACUCCUACGAGCGUAAAUGCGACCACGCCUCGUCCAGGAGUAUUUCCAUUGAAGCCUACGACACUCAUCCCGCACCCGGUGGAAGAGUUGGCGGUUCGGCCGGGUCAAGCGCUCAUUAAU